RNAcentral lists this ribosomal RNA (145 nucleotides) under uncultured eukaryote. Its description in RNAcentral is "partial small subunit ribosomal RNA". It matches the Rfam family "Eukaryotic small subunit ribosomal RNA", at positions 1662 to 1828 of the family's 1831-position model. The record is from RNAcentral.
GUACACACCGCCCGUCGCUUUUACCGAUUGAGUGUUCAGGUGAGUCUUCUUGAUAGUGUCAAAGCUAAAAAUUAAACAAACCUUAGCACUUAGAGGAAAAAGAAGUCGUAACAAGGUUUCUGUAGGUGAACCUGCAGAAGGAUCA